GGGUAAAAUAAUGAGGAUCAGAGGAGUAAAAUGAGAGGUAAAAAUAAAUAAAUAAAUGAAAAAUAACAAGCUGUAAUCAGUGAGAGUGAGAUUUUUGGAGGUGGUGCAAAACAAUACUGAGACUGUGUUAAGCUCCUGAAGUUCAGCAAGUGGUAUAGAUGGAUUCUUAAUUAGAACUUUAAUGAACUGUCUGACAAUCUAUGGUAUUCUUUCUAAUGGACUGGAAGGGACAAUGGGAAGUACUCACUGCAGGCAGGCAGGCAGAGCACUUAGCUGCAGCAAGCGGGAGGCCCUGCAAGCAUGGUGUCAUGCAAUUGAGGCCUCUCUGACACUUCUGCUUAGGAGCUACUCCUGCUUCAGUGCCAACUGGUUGUCCAUUGCCCCAGGCUCCAGCAAAGCACACUGCUCUCUGCUGUGCUCCAGACUGUGUCUUCCACUUGAAGAGUGAAUUGUGCAAACACUGAUGGCAGAUGCAGGACGACAAAGUUCAACUGUGCAUAAAAACGUAAAGCUGUGUUGUGCAGCUAUAUCCUUAAGAUAGGCCAACUACGGUGUCAUCAUAUUCUGGAAAAAAAAAAAAAAAAAAAGUGGGUUGUAAUCUGUGAAUAUCCACUUAACAUGAAUCCGAUAAGCAUAACUAAAGAAAACAAUUUGAAGAGAGGUGGAUGGAAAGAGUUAGUCUGAGAGGCAUUCAAUUUUAUCUGAGAUCCAUUAAGGUAAGGUUGUGGAUGGAGUACACUUCACAGAGAGCAUUUCAACAGUAGCACUAGAUGCUUCCUCCAUAUUGCAUUUAUUAGCAUGAUAACUGGCUUUCUACCACCACAACCAUGAGUCAUGCCUCUUCUAAAACAACAAUAGCUUUGUGGAAUAUAUCGGUCAAAUCCCAGGGCAGCAUGUGCUCUCAGCAUCAAUUUCAUGAGCUGUUUGGACACCGCAGAUAUUGUAUUCAAAGAAUGGGAGAGGCUUCCAGCUCCACAGUCUGCCCCUCACUUGUGGGAUGAGCAUACAGGACAGAAGCUGCCAUGUACAGUUUCUGCUUUUCACCUCCCAGACCCCCCAGGCAGGGGUCUUCUUGCUUCAGAGACUUUGGAAGCCUUCAUCAGAACUGAUGGAGGACGAGGAGAGGACAAUGUUUUUUCCAUGGAAAAUCUGAUCGAUCAGACAUGAAGUGGGUUGGUAAGGACUAACACAAAGGCACAGAGCAGUAAAGGGGAUCUUCUUCCUCCCAUCAGGAAGAAGUAGACACAAGGACGUUUUAGACUGUCUGUUUCUCAGCAGCAGAAACAUCUUGAGGGACUGUAGAAAGGGAUAAACUCUGAAGAUAAUCAGGAAGGAGAGUUCAGGAGACAAAUACAUUUGGGGAAGAAAUGGAGGGAUGUGACAGAAAGGCUCAUGCGCUGUGCCUGCAGCUUUUGUGACGUACUGUCUGGACUGCCCCACAUCAUUGCAGAGACAGUGCCCAUCCUGGGCUGAAGAGGAACAUCUAAGCAGGUGUACUUGCUUUAGCCUUUUCUUUCAGAGCAACCAAAGGAGAUAAACCAGUGUCAGGUGUGACUGGGAGGCUUGUUCAGGGCUGUAUUGAGAUUACCAGCUAAUUAUCCACUGCUGCCAAAAGAGGGCUAUGACUUUGAGCUAUCUUAAGGAUAAUAACUAACUCCCAGUUUUGGUCUCACAGGCCCCUAGUUUCUGAAUAAUUACUUCCCAGAAGAUAUUUAUCAUAUAAUUUCAGAAAGAUUCAGAGUUCAUGUUGAAUUGUACUACUUUGAUUAAGUGAUUUAAAUAAAUUUCUCCCUAUGAUGUUAUUUCUUACUACC
RNAcentral lists this long non-coding RNA (1814 nucleotides) under Anas platyrhynchos platyrhynchos (common mallard). RNAcentral describes it as "lncRNA (ENSAPLG00000023276.1)". Lineage: Eukaryota; Metazoa; Chordata; Aves; Anseriformes; Anatidae. The record is from RNAcentral.